GCAGGCCUAACACAUGCAAGUCGAACGGUAACAGGAAGCAGCUUGCUGCUUUGCUGACGAGUGGCGGACGGGUGAGUAAUGUCUGGGAAACUGCCUGAUGGAGGGGGAUAACUACUGGAAACGGUAGCUAAUACCGCAUAACGUCGCAAGACCAAAGAGGGGGACCUUCGGGCCUCUUGCCAUCGGAUGUGCCCAGAUGGGAUUAGCUAGUAGGUGGGGUAACGGCUCACCUAGGCGACGAUCCCUAGCUGGUCUGAGAGGAUGACCAGCCACACUGGAACUGAGACACGGUCCAGACUCCUACGGGAGGCAGCAGUGGGGAAUAUUGCACAAUGGGCGCAAGCCUGAUGCAGCCAUGCCGCGUGUAUGAAGAAGGCCUUCGGGUUGUAAAGUACUUUCAGCGGGGAGGAAGGGAGUAAAGUUAAUACCUUUGCUCAUUGACGUUACCCGCAGAAGAAGCACCGGCUAACUCCGUGCCAGCAGCCGCGGUAAUACGGAGGGUGCAAGCGUUAAUCGGAAUUACUGGGCGUAAAGCGCACGCAGGCGGUUUGUUAAGUCAGAUGUGAAAUCCCCGGGCUCAACCUGGGAACUGCAUCUGAUACUGGCAAGCUUGAGUCUCGUAGAGGGGGGUAGAAUUCCAGGUGUAGCGGUGAAAUGCGUAGAGAUCUGGAGGAAUACCGGUGGCGAAGGCGGCCCCCUGGACGAAGACUGACGCUCAGGUGCGAAAGCGUGGGGAGCAAACAGGAUUAGAUACCCUGGUAGUCCACGCCGUAAACGAUGUCGACUUGGAGGUUGUGCCCUUGAGGCGUGGCUUCCGGAGCUAACGCGUUAAGUCGACCGCCUGGGGAGUACGGCCGCAAGGUUAAAACUCAAAUGAAUUGACGGGGGCCCGCACAAGCGGUGGAGCAUGUGGUUUAAUUCGAUGCAACGCGAAGAACCUUACCUGGUCUUGACAUCCACGGAAGUUUUCAGAGAUGAGAAUGUGCCUUCGGGAACCGUGAAACAGGUGCUGCAUGGCUGUCGUCAGCUCCUGUUGUGAAAUGUUGGGUUAAGUCCCGCAACGAGCGCAACCCUUAUCCUUUGUUGCCAGCGGUCCGGCCGGGAACUCAAAGGAGACUGCCAGUGAUAAACUGGAGGAAGGUGGGGA
Molecule: ribosomal RNA, 1147 nt
Filed under: Escherichia coli
Lineage: Bacteria; Pseudomonadati; Pseudomonadota; Gammaproteobacteria; Enterobacterales; Enterobacteriaceae
Description: bacterial SSU rRNA
Rfam family: Bacterial small subunit ribosomal RNA
Source: RNAcentral